RNAcentral lists this long non-coding RNA (327 nucleotides) under Rattus norvegicus (Norway rat). RNAcentral's name for it is "long non-coding RNA NONRATT008230". The record is from RNAcentral. Lineage: Eukaryota; Metazoa; Chordata; Mammalia; Rodentia; Muridae.
GCGGCAUUUUCUACUAUGGAUUUACACCCAAAACAUAAUGAUGAUGUGGUACUGAUUAGGAAUUUCUGGUUUCUUUCAGGUUUCUAUGGAUCCUAGCAGUCCACAAUGAAGGAAGUACACCAAGUCCUUCUGUGGUUAUUCAAAACCUUGUCUAUCUAACUAACAUAGUUCUGGGAAGGAAAAGACCCAAAACCGCUCCUGGUGCCAUGCGAGGCUGCCUGUGGCGGUGCAUCAGAGUCCUGGCAUCCCUAAUCAUCCUGGGGUUCCUUCUUCGAGAGAAUAUAGCAGUGCGCGUGGAGCCGCAAUUUAACACAUUUCUGGUGAGAA